GUCCACGCCGUAACGGUGGCGCUAGGUGUGGGACCCUUCCACGGUCUCCGUGCCGCAGCUAACGCAUUAAGCGCCCGCCUGGGAGUACGGCCGCAAGGCUAAACUCAAGGAAUUGACGGGCCCGCACAAGCGGCGGAGCAUGCGGCUUAAUUCGAUGCAACGCGAAGAACCUUACCUAGGCUUGACAGUUGGGAAAUCUGGCAGAGAUGCCAGGUCCGCAAGGGCCCCAAAACAGGUGGUGCAUGGCUGUCGU
RNAcentral lists this ribosomal RNA (253 nucleotides) under uncultured bacterium. Its description in RNAcentral is "partial 16S ribosomal RNA". It matches the Rfam family "Bacterial small subunit ribosomal RNA", at positions 793 to 1055 of the family's 1533-position model. The record is from RNAcentral.